GGGAAAUCUAAAGGUACUCCCUUGAAGGGUGGGGCUUACGAGUAACAAUCUCCCCCCAAACAGGCAGGAAGGUAUCUGUACAGCCAAGCUUUGGGGCAGAAGAUCCAGAGAAAUCUAUGACUAUUAUGGAAAGCAUAGAUCUCCCCAUACUUGCAGGCACAUUCAAACUGCCUCAAGGCUCUCUUCCUCGACACCUCCAUUCUCCACCUCAUGGCUGGGCCGAUGCAGUGACAUCACAAUGGUUGCUGUGGAUGAGAUGGAGUAUGAUGGUUCUCUUGGUGAAGGAUGUGAGGAGGUGGAGGAAGAUCUCUCUCUCUUAACUCCCCUUCCCAUGACUUCUCUCCCUUCCUCCCUCCUUUCAUCACUAUUCUCCCUUUUAUCCCUCCCACUCUCCUAGCUAUGUAGGAGUCAUCUGGAUUCAUAUUUGAGAGAAAAUGAAUGAAGAUUCUAGUGAGGGCCCUGACCCCAACUCCAGCCCUGCUGAGGAAGCCUCCCAGAGUCGGAAAAAUACAGGAAAGACGCAAACCUUUAGGGGCCGGAGGCAGAAGGCAGUAUUGGGGAAUAACUUCCUGGGACAGAGCCUAUGGUGGGGGGAGAACAAACUCUGCUCUUUCCUCCCCCCAGUGGUUGGCCCUUGUCUCUGUGGAUGCAGCUUAAGAGCAAAGGUAGUACUUCACCCUCGGCUCCCACCUUUCCCCCGGCAGGCCACCCAAAAUCUCCCCUACCUCCUAUCCAAGGGAAAGUCAACAUCAUCAGAGGCCUGGUCUAGAACGCAACUGGCUUCUCGAUCAUCUUUCCACCUAACCUCCCGGACCGGCCUCCAGACCAACAGUCACCCUCUGCAUCCCCGUCAGCUGGCCCCAUUAGGAAUGAAAACACAGGGGCAAACUCCCGCUACCCUAAAGAAGGUUUGGGACUUUUCUGGAAGCUGGCUGGAGAAC
Molecule: long non-coding RNA, 941 nt
Filed under: Phascolarctos cinereus (koala)
Lineage: Eukaryota; Metazoa; Chordata; Mammalia; Diprotodontia; Phascolarctidae
Description: lncRNA (ENSPCIG00000005961.2)
Source: RNAcentral